AUCCUUUUAUAGUUCAUGAGCACAAUGAUUGAGUCUUCAUGCUGUUGCAGGAGCUGUGCCCCCCACAAACCUUGUUAUGACAUCAGCACAUUACCUGUCUGAUG
Molecule: small nucleolar RNA, 104 nt
Organism: Equus asinus (donkey)
Lineage: Eukaryota; Metazoa; Chordata; Mammalia; Perissodactyla; Equidae
Source: Ensembl